Molecule: ribosomal RNA, 408 nt
Filed under: Rhagada convicta
Lineage: Eukaryota; Metazoa; Mollusca; Gastropoda; Stylommatophora; Camaenidae
Description: partial 16S ribosomal RNA
Rfam family: Bacterial large subunit ribosomal RNA
Source: RNAcentral
CAAAAACAUAGCUAGAUGUAAUUAUAUUUAGUGCUUCCUGCUCAAUGAUAUAUUUAAUAGCCGCAGUACCUUGACUGUGCAAAGGUAGCAUAAUCAAUUGGCUUAUAAUUGAAGUCUAGAAUGAAAGGAUAUACGGGUAGCUACUGUAUCUGAUAUUUAUUGCAAAAUUAGUUUUCAAGUGCAAAUACUUGUAAAUAAUUGUUAGACGAGAAGACCCUAGAAAUUUGUAUUAAUGUUUCGUUGGGGCAACGUAGUAGGAAAACCUACAGUAAAAGACAAGAAAAAUUUUUGAGAGAAAAAAUUACUCUAGGGAUAACAGCAUAAUUUAUAAAAGUUUGUGACCUCGAUGUUGGAUUUGGGAGCUAUAGUUCAGAAGACUUUUAGUACCGCUCUGUUCGAGCAUAAUAC